GCUGGGUGUGAUGGCAUACACCUGUAAUCCCAGCAGCUAGGGAGGCUGAGGCAGGAGGAUUGCAAGUUCAAAGCCAGCCUAAGCAAAAGAGAGGCAUUAAGGGACUCAGUGGGACCCUUUCUCUA
Molecule: small RNA, 125 nt
Filed under: Marmota monax (woodchuck)
Lineage: Eukaryota; Metazoa; Chordata; Mammalia; Rodentia; Sciuridae
Source: RNAcentral